UAAGGUGCAUCUAGUGUAGUUAGUGAAGUAUUCAAAGUCUACUGCCCUAGUUGCCCCUUCUGUCU
This is a microRNA precursor of Haplochromis burtoni (Burton's mouthbrooder), 65 nucleotides long. Lineage: Eukaryota; Metazoa; Chordata; Actinopteri; Cichliformes; Cichlidae. The record is from Ensembl.